Molecule: ribosomal RNA, 402 nt
Filed under: bacterium
Lineage: Bacteria
Description: partial 16S ribosomal RNA
Rfam family: Bacterial small subunit ribosomal RNA
Source: RNAcentral
UGGGGAAUUUUGCACAAUGGGGGAAACCCUGAUGCAGCGACGCCGCGUGAUUUAGAAGGCCUUCGGGUUGUAAAAAUCUUUUCUAUGGGAAGAAAAUGACAGUACCAUAGGAAUAAGGACCGGCUAGUUACGUGCCAGCAGCCGCGGUAAUACGUAAGGUCCGAGCGUUGUCCGGAAUCAUGGGGCGUAAAGGGUACGUAGGCGGGUAAGCAAGUUAGAAGUGAAAUCCUAUAGCUCAACUAUAGUAAGCUUUUAAAACUGCUCAUCUUGAGGGAUGGAAGGGAAAGUGGAGUUCCUAGUGUAGCGGUGAAAUGCGCAGAUAUUAGGAGGAAUACCGGUGGCGAAGGCGACUUUCUGGCCAUCACCUGACGCUGAGGUACGAAAGCGUGGGUAGCAAACAGG